This 253-nucleotide ribosomal RNA is filed under the name uncultured bacterium. RNAcentral's name for it is "partial 16S ribosomal RNA". It matches the Rfam family "Bacterial small subunit ribosomal RNA", at positions 524 to 776 of the family's 1533-position model. The record is from RNAcentral.
UACGGGGGGGGCAAGCGUUGUUCGGAAUUACUGGGCGUAAAGGGCUCGUAGGUGGCCAACUAAGUCAGACGUGAAAUCCCUCGGCUUAACCGGGGAACUGCGUCUGAUACUGGAUGGCUUGAGUUUGGGAGAGGGACGCGGAAUUCCAGGUGUAGCGGUGAAAUGCGUAGAUAUCGGGAGGAACACCAGAGGCGAAGGCGGCGAACUGGACAGUAACUGACACUCAACUGCGAAAGCGUGGGGAGCGAACAGG